CAAAAAGAGGGAGUACUGCCUUUGACUCAGAAGGGCUAAGCACUCGUAUAGAAGACCAGGGAGUGUAGCCACAAUUUGUUUCUUGAGUCACAACUGCUUCAAGACGUCGGCAUCUGAGAAGCAAGUUGGGCCAAGAGGGAACCAAGUUGUGGUGAUUUUACCGACAGAAGAUAUCAGUCGGCGCACCAACCCCAUUUCGAAUCAUUGAUCAACCGGUAUACUACAGCUUCAUCUGGCUUUCUACUGCAAGUAGGCUACAUAAGGACAUUCUUUGUGGAGCCGGUACUUGUAAGAGUCUCGAUAGUUGUCUGUUGGACCAAUACAGUAAGAUAUCAAUCACUAAACUGUUGAUUGAAAGGAUUGGAGUUGACAAUUGAGCUGACUGAGGCAGUGCAUUGGUCUCAGGGGCACUACAUUAUGUGCUUAGACCCCUGUAUCCUGUCUCACUAGUACCGUCUCGACAUAGAUUGAACCCUCUGAGUCACUCUGAAUAGAGCUGUAGAGGGAUAUAAACUGCUCUUAAGUUCGGAUACGGCUGUGGACAUGGUACGAAAAGGAUAUGUGAGACUGUCUUGGAGCAUGCUGCAGAGCUCUAUGUGGAGACAAUGGCAUCUACGGCCGGUUUGAGAGACGUUGGAAGUUUGGAGAGUUCAAAAUAUUUGUCAAAUAAACAGCUUCUGCACG
RNAcentral lists this unclassified non-coding RNA (684 nucleotides) under Yarrowia lipolytica. Lineage: Eukaryota; Fungi; Ascomycota; Dipodascomycetes; Dipodascales. The record is from RNAcentral.